GGUUAAGCGACUAAGCGUACACGGUGGAUGCCCUGGCAGUCAGAGGCGAUGAAGGACGUGCUAAUCUGCGAUAAGCGUCGGUAAGGUGAUAUGAACCGUUAUAACCGGCGAUUUCCGAAUGGGGAAACCCAGUGUGAUUCGUCACACUAUCAUUAACUGAAUCCAUAGGUUAAUGAGGCGAACCGGGGGAACUGAAACAUCUAAGUACCCCGAGGAAAAGAAAUCAACCGAGAUUCCCCCAGUAGCGGCGAGCGAACGGGGAGCAGCCCAGAGCCUGAAUCAGUGUGUGUGUUAGUGGAAGCGUCUGGAAAG
This 312-nucleotide ribosomal RNA is filed under the name Escherichia coli. RNAcentral's name for it is "partial 23S ribosomal RNA". It matches the Rfam family "Bacterial large subunit ribosomal RNA", at positions 1 to 349 of the family's 2925-position model. RNAcentral also lists the same sequence under 1 other name. Lineage: Bacteria; Pseudomonadati; Pseudomonadota; Gammaproteobacteria; Enterobacterales; Enterobacteriaceae. The record is from RNAcentral.